GACGUAGGGGACGAGCGUUGUCCGGAAUUACUGGGCGUAAAGAGCUCGUAGGCGGUUUGUCGCGUCGUCUGUGAAAACUCGAGGCUCAACCUCGAGCUUGCAGGCGAUACGGGCAGACUUGAGUACUGCAGGGGAGACUGGAAUUCCUGGUGUAGCGGUGAAAUGCGCAGAUAUCAGGAGGAACACCGGUGGCGAAGGCGGGUCUCUGGGCAGUAACUGACGCUGAGGAGCGAAAGCGUGGGUAGCGAACAGG
This 253-nucleotide ribosomal RNA is filed under the name uncultured bacterium. Its description in RNAcentral is "partial 16S ribosomal RNA". It matches the Rfam family "Bacterial small subunit ribosomal RNA", at positions 524 to 776 of the family's 1533-position model. The record is from RNAcentral.